CAGCAAACAAAAACAUAACAGUAGGAGAGGGUUGGGAUACUCACUUUGUGAGUGCUUUCCAGUCCCACCACAGCUCUCACAGAACAGCAGAGAUAUUUGUGAUUUUUCCCAUUGAGUUAUAUAUUCUCUCUCCUUCUGAAAAAUCAUCCGGGUCUGAGUGAGGGAGGACCUUUUGGCAGAUCUCUCCAGUUGUACACAAGACAUAUCCACACUACUGCAGCUGGCAGUGUCCUUUUCCAGCCCAAGCAAACUGGCACCAUUACCUGUUGAGGGAAGUAGAGAAGUUAACCAGAACAACGACUUUGGAAGGCAUCCAGAAGGCCAAGAGAGGUGCUGCUCAGAUGGGAGCACUGCUGUAACCACGGUGUUCCUCAAAACCACCAGCAAAAUAACCUACUUUGCAACAUGUGUGUAGAGUGGAGUGCAAAGCAAACAGCACAGGUAUUUCAAAUUACAU
Molecule: long non-coding RNA, 457 nt
Filed under: Taeniopygia guttata (zebra finch)
Lineage: Eukaryota; Metazoa; Chordata; Aves; Passeriformes; Estrildidae
Description: lncRNA (ENSTGUG00000028749.1)
Source: RNAcentral